RNAcentral lists this long non-coding RNA (233 nucleotides) under Ananas comosus (pineapple). RNAcentral's name for it is "long non-coding RNA (ACOM_LNC010025)". The record is from RNAcentral. Lineage: Eukaryota; Viridiplantae; Streptophyta; Magnoliopsida; Poales; Bromeliaceae.
UAUAUAUAUAUAUAUAUAUAGAGUUGAGCUAUGAUACUUUUACAAGUAUCACCAUCAUGAUGCUAUUAGGUUUUAAGCCAUUGGAUCUACUUUUUGAUUAUUAAUAGCCCUUGGAUUAAAUACUAUUUCACCUACCACCAUCAUCUCAACCUCACAUCUCUCCAUCCAAGGGCUAAAAACACACAAGUAUCACCCCCAUGAUACUUUUACAAGUAUUCUAGCCCUACUCUAUN